ACAACAAAAAUUUAGGACCCUUCGCAGGGUCCUAAACAAUGGGAGAGGAGAAACCGGAUGAAGAGCUUAUGGGGAACGUAAGUCUUCUCCGCGG
Regulatory RNA element from Paenibacillus sp. FSL H7-0331, 94 nucleotides. It matches the Rfam family "ylbH leader". Rfam says of the family: This family is a putative regulatory RNA structure that is found upstream of the ylbH gene in B. subtilis and related low GC Gram-positive bacteria. The record is from Rfam. Lineage: Bacteria; Bacillati; Bacillota; Bacilli; Caryophanales; Paenibacillaceae.